UACAGAGGUCUCAAGCGUUGUUCGGAUUCAUUGGGCGUAAAGGGUGUGUAGGUGGCGCCGUAAGUCAGGUGUGAAAUCUCGGGGCUUAACUCCGAAACUGCAUUUGAUACUGCGGUGCUUGAGGACUGGAGAGGAGACUGGAAUUUAUGGUGUAGCAGUGAAAUGCGUAGAUAUCGUAAGGAAGACCAGUGGCGAAGGCGAGUCUCUGGACAGUUACUGACACUGAGGCACGAAGGCCAGGGGAGCAAACGGG
This 253-nucleotide ribosomal RNA is filed under the name uncultured bacterium. Its description in RNAcentral is "partial 16S ribosomal RNA". It matches the Rfam family "Bacterial small subunit ribosomal RNA", at positions 524 to 776 of the family's 1533-position model. The record is from RNAcentral.